GGAUUGAGGCUUAGUGGUAGAGCACCUACCUAGCAUGUGUGAGGCACUGGGUUCAAUCCUCAGCACCA
RNAcentral lists this transfer RNA (68 nucleotides) under Marmota monax (woodchuck). RNAcentral's name for it is "tRNA.Ala". The record is from RNAcentral. Lineage: Eukaryota; Metazoa; Chordata; Mammalia; Rodentia; Sciuridae.